AUAUUGCACGCCUGCGGGGGGAUGAGAAGCCCCGACCGGGGUUCGACUGCUGGCGCAGCCAGCUGGACAGAUGACUAGCCCGCGAGGAAUCUACCCGCAGGGCGAGCGAAGCGAGUCAAUCCCCCCCUCACCGCUA
This 136-nucleotide small RNA is filed under the name Citrobacter werkmanii. RNAcentral describes it as "RtT sRNA". It matches the Rfam family "RtT RNA". Rfam says of the family: This family represents a bacterial cis-regulatory element known as RtT RNA. The exact function of RtT is unknown although it is thought that it may be involved in changing the cellular response in relation to amino acid starvation. The record is from RNAcentral. RNAcentral also lists the same sequence under 1 other name. Lineage: Bacteria; Pseudomonadati; Pseudomonadota; Gammaproteobacteria; Enterobacterales; Enterobacteriaceae.